GCUUUACACUUGAUCUCUGAACUUCAGGUAAGUUCAAUGUUGACAAGCUAUUAACUGAUGCAAUUUUGUUUGUAUAUCUUUUCACACUUUCCUCUUUAUUAGUAGCACAGGGGAAAACUGUGAAUUUUUCAAAGUUUUGUAACAUUGUUAAAACACAAUUGCAUCAUUUCAAAAAAAAAAAAAAAAAAACACACUCACACACAAUUGCAUAUGAUGGUUUACACUUGAUAUCUCAACUUGAGGUAAGUUCAAUGCUGACAAGCGUUUAACAGGUGCA
Molecule: long non-coding RNA, 277 nt
Filed under: Rosa chinensis
Lineage: Eukaryota; Viridiplantae; Streptophyta; Magnoliopsida; Rosales; Rosaceae
Description: sRNA RchiOBHm_Chr2g0164351
Rfam family: Small nucleolar RNA snoR101 (bases 1-62)
Source: RNAcentral